Long non-coding RNA from Peromyscus eremicus (cactus mouse), 1072 nucleotides. RefSeq lists it as uncharacterized. NCBI's taxonomy places the organism in Eukaryota, Metazoa, Chordata, Mammalia, Rodentia, Cricetidae. The transcript is spliced from 5 exons. The record is from RefSeq and is a predicted model, not a curated record.
GCGGGACUACAGAGAUUCUAAGAAUGCGGGCUGGGGUCAGCCCUUACUGCAACCAUACUUUAAAACUACAGGGAGGCUUUGGCAACACCCCAGGGCGCCUCCAGUUUUCCAGUAAUGACCCAGCGAAAGGGUCACAGCUCUUCCUCUACAACCAAGCUAAUUAUCUUAAUGGCUGAGUUCUUUGCUCAAUUUUCCGUACAUGGAUCAUUAACAGAAGAGCCCAUAAGCAGGUCCACUUCCUUUCCUGAGAUGCCCUCCUCUCCAUGCUGCCCGGCUCUGAACUGGAGCAGCUUAAAGACAGAAGCUCGGCUGUUUUUGCAGAAGCCUGCCCACGAGGGGUAGACUGGGACUGGGAUGGAUCUCUGCAGCAGCUACGAAACUCUCCACGUCAUCAAUAAUGUCAUCCUGCAAGGGGAGAGGCAGUCUCGGUCACUCUCUACCCAAGCUGCACUGCACAUGCCUGGGCCCAGAUCUGAGCAUCCCGGGUCAGCAGAGCAGUGAGGCUACUGGUCCCCAGGAGUGUGUGACAUGGCAGCUCAAGCUGUCACGGUAACAGUCAGAGGAGCUUCCCUCCCUCAGACUCCUGACUCACUCCAGAGCCAGCACGCUGCUUACUUUGCCCCAAGAGAGGGUGACAUGAAAGGAAGAGAGAACUAAGGGAGCUGCUGACGACGUGACUCUGAUCUAGUAAGAGCGGCCAGCAUGCCAACACAAAGCUAAGCUGCGCUGGGACAAUGGGAAAGGCUCGCCUUCAGCUUAUCUCAUGGCCCUGAAAUGAGACUGAGUAAGGAAGGGCAGAUGGAGCCAGUGGAACCCACCAUCAUGCUGAGACCCACACUGACUAAGCCACCAGUGUCACCGCUGUGCAUGAAAUGAUGAUGACGCGUCCCCAUACCACUAUGAUUGCAAUGCGUCCUCCGACGUCCCCGACCACUGUUAUAGGUGGCUUCUCUUUGGCCAUCAUCACUAGCAAAAUAAAUCACAAGACCCAGUUAGUUGGGUAACUGGAUAAAUGUAAUCACAACCUGGUGGCAAGCUUCAGCACAGACUACACAACCUAACACACAGACCC